This 216-nucleotide long non-coding RNA is filed under the name Elaeis guineensis (African oil palm). RNAcentral describes it as "long non-coding RNA (EGUI_LNC035858)". The record is from RNAcentral. Lineage: Eukaryota; Viridiplantae; Streptophyta; Magnoliopsida; Arecales; Arecaceae.
ACUUGAGAGAAUUAUUUUCAUUGGGUGUAAAUGAAUCUACAAAAGAAAAAUAAGUAUUGAUGGUAAGGUAGAGACCUAUAAGGUAAGGCUGUGGCGAAAGGUUAUAGUUAGCGCAAAGACAUUGACUAUCAUGACACAUUUUCAUCUGUAGCCAUACUAAAAUUCAUCCGCAUAUUGCUUUCUGUUGCAGCUUACAAUGAUUAUGAAAUCUGGUAG